UGAUACUAAGCCAUGCGAGUCUUUGUAGCAAUACAAGGCAGACGGCUCAGUAACACGUAGUCAAUCUACCCUAUGGACGGGGAUAACCUCGGGAAACUGAGAAUAAUACCCGAUAGAUCAUUAUGCCUGGAAUGGUUUAAGGUUCAAAUGAUUUUUCGCCAUAGGAUGGGACUGCGGUCUAUCAGCUUGUUGGUGAGGUAAUGGCCCACCAAGGCUAUAACAGAUGCGGGCUCUGAGAGGAGAAGCCCGGAGAUGGGUACUGAGACACGGACCCAGGUCCUAUGGGGCGCAGCAGGCGAGAAAACUUUGCAAUGUGCGAAAGCACGACAAGGUUAAUCCGAGUGUUUUCUGCUAAAGAAAUCUCUUGUCAGUCCUAAAAACACUGACGAAUAAGGGGUGGGCAAGUUCUGGUGUCAGCCGCCGCGGUAAAACCAGCACCUCAAGUGGUCAGGAGGAUUAUUGGGCCUAAAGCAUCCGUAGCCUGCUCUGUAAGUUUUCGGUUAAAUCUANNUGCUCAACAUAUAGGCUGCCGGGAAUACUGCAGAGCUAGGGAGUGGGAGAGGUAGAUGGNACUCGGUAGGAAGGGGUAAAAUCCUUUGAUCUAUUGAUGACCACCUGUGGCGAAGGCGGUCUACUAGAACACGUUCGACGGUGAGGGAUGAAAGCUGGGGGAGC
Molecule: ribosomal RNA, 675 nt
Filed under: uncultured archaeon
Lineage: Archaea
Description: bacterial SSU rRNA
Rfam family: Archaeal small subunit ribosomal RNA
Source: RNAcentral